AGAACGAACGCUGGCGGCAGGCCUCAAACAUGCAAGUCUAGGGGAUGUAGCAAUACAUCACCGGCGGACGGGUGCGUAACACGUGGGAAUAUACCUUUCGGUACGGAACAACUGCGGGAAACUGCAGCUAAUACCGUAUACGUCCUUACGGAGAAAGAUUUAUCGCCGAAGGAUUAGCCCGCGUUCGAUUAGCUAGUUGGUGAGGUAAUGGCUCACCAAGGCGACGAUCGAUAGCUGUUCUGAGAGGAAGAUCAGCCACACUGGGACUGAGACACGGCCCAGACUCCUACGGGAGGCAGCAGUUGGGAAUCUUGGACAAUGGGGGAAACCCUGAUCCAGCCAUGCCGCGUGAGUGAUGAAGGCCUUCGGGUUGUAAAGCUCUUUUACCCGGGAAGAUAAUGACUGUACCGGGAGAAUAAGCUCCGGCUAACUUCGUGUCAGCAGCCGC
Molecule: ribosomal RNA, 448 nt
Filed under: uncultured bacterium
Lineage: Bacteria
Description: SSU rRNA
Rfam family: Bacterial small subunit ribosomal RNA
Source: RNAcentral